Molecule: ribosomal RNA, 500 nt
Filed under: uncultured Gammaproteobacteria bacterium
Lineage: Bacteria; Pseudomonadati; Pseudomonadota; Gammaproteobacteria
Description: bacterial SSU rRNA
Rfam family: Bacterial small subunit ribosomal RNA
Source: RNAcentral
GGGAUAACCACUGGAAACGGUGGCUAAUACCGCAUAACGUCGCAAGACCAAAGAGGGGGACCUUCGGGCCUCUCGCUAUCGGAUGAGCCCAGAUGGGAUUAGCUAGUAGGCGGGGUAACGGCCCACCUAGGCGACGAUCCCUAGCUGGUCUGAGAGGAUGACCAGCCACACUGGAACUGAGACACGGUCCAGACUCCUACGGGAGGCAGCAGUGGGGAAUAUUGCACAAUGGGCGCAAGCCUGAUGCAGCCAUGCCGCGUGUAUGAAGAAGGCCUUCGGGUUGUAAAGUACUUUCAGCGGGGAGGAAGGCGACGGGGUUAAUAACCCUGUCGAUUGACGUUACCCGCAGAAGAAGCACCGGCUAACUCCGUGCCAGCAGCCGCGGUAAUACGGAGGGUGCAAGCGUUAAUCGGAAUUACUGGGCGUAAAGCGCACGCAGGCGGUCUGUUAAGUCAGAUGUGAAAUCCCCGGGCUUAACCUGGGAACUGCAUUUGAAACUG